AUGGCAAUCCACUCCAGUGUUCUUGCCUGGAGAAUCCCAGGGACGGGGGAGCCUGGUGGGCUGCUGUCUAUGGGGUUACAUAGAGUCAGACACAACUGAAGCGACUUAGCAGCAGCAGCAGUAAGUUCUUAUCUCUUUGGUCAUUGGAAAAUUUCCUUCUUGGGGGAAGGGAGUUCAUUUUUUGUUUCAAAAUGACUACAAAAACUGAGUCAUAAAUUACAGUAAAGAGAAUAAAAACUGCUUUAUCCAGUCUGGUAUUUAAAAAGCAUUACUGUUGAUGCUUAAAAAGAAAUACUGUCUUAUUUCACAAGAAUAACUUGUGAAAAUGGCAGAACAUUCUCCUCCAACAUUUAUUUCUAGUUUUCCUAUGCUAUCAAAGCAGAAAAUAUAACAGGCUCUGCUUGGAACCAGAACAGAUAAGUGCUUGUUGAGUGAAUUUAUGACCAUAAUUGUUAUGUCACUCCUGGCUAGACCAGAGUAACCUAAGAGAUCAUGUGUCUUUAGAGUAAUGCUCCUAAAUGGUCCCCUUAAUCAUUGUCUGUGGAACAUGCUCUUUCUUCAGUGAUGCUUGUCCCGUCCCCUUUUCUGUCAGUGUUAAACCUUUGAGAGAUAGCUUCUCUAGUCCACGGACAUGGAACCGAGGAAAAGUAACACUUUGUUGGCACUUUGUAAACUUGGGGUGGACAGAUAAUAAAUGGCAGAUAGUAAAUAUUUUAGAUAUUGCAGGCCAAAUGUAGUGUCUGUUGCAUAUACUUAUGUAUGUAUGUCAUGGCCAUACUCAGAUAGGCUACAGACUAGGUUUGGCCUGCUUGCCAGAGUUGGCCAAUCCCUGGUCUAAAUCAGCAAGCUGAACUCCACGGACUUGGGCUUAUGAUACAUUUCUAAACUCAGCCACUAACUGCUAUCUGUAGCUGCUAUUCCUAAUACCUGGUUGCUUCCUUGCCUUGCAGACAUUGGUCUCUCUCUGGGACUCUGUUCACCUUAAAUAGCAUUCUCUACUCUUAUAGUCCUUAUGCUUCAGGACAGAAGAUUGAAUGGAUGUCCUCUUUGGCAUGUUUAUUUGAUAGGGUGUGAUUUUAUUCUUGAUCCCAAAAUGAUUUUAGAUUCACAUUAAAAUCAAGAGGAAAGUAAGAGAUUUCCCAUGUACUCCCUAGCCCCACAUGCAUAGCCUCCGCCUUACCAACAUCCACCACCAGAUGGUACACGUGUUGUAACUGAUGAACCUACAUUGACAUCCAGCAUGUUUGGAAUGAAAUCCACGUUCUGUACCAUGGCCAGACUAAACAACUACCAUGGCCAGAGAGGCCUGAGGUGCUGUGAUUGCCGCCGUCCUCUCCACAUGCCCUAGGCUGGCCUCAUUUCAGACUCACUGUCUGCCUGUCCUUCCUUAGGGUGGCCAAGCCAUGUCCCAGGUGGGGACAGCUUGGUGCUGGCCCCCCGAUGACCGUGUGUGUCCUCUGAGGCCAGGCUGGCUCAUGGCGUUCCUGAGCCUCAGAAGAGUGCUGUGUGGUCUUCUAGAACAGGAGGGCAUGGGGUACUGUGUGGAGCUCCCACAGGGCACUGCAUGUUUGCCCCCCUAUUUUCUGGGGAGUAAGUCACCACCCCAGGUCUGAUCAACUGUGAGACUCCCUUCUCAGUCCUCUGUGGCUACAGGCUGUGAAACGGCUUUACUGCACCGUGGUCCUGGCUUCUCAGCAACAGGGUGCCCCCGCCUUAUGCAGUGUUACUGCAUCAUGUGCCCCUUUUCUUCCUGUGCCUUCCCUUUGGGGCAAGACUCCCGAGGAGCUGGCACCUCUGUUUGUCUUUCCUUGGGUACCUCUGUAAGGGGUGAACUGUCUUAAACUCUAGCACAGACUUGUUUCCCCCCUGGCUGGAUCUUGCUGCCAUGCCUUGUUCAGGACUCUGCUUCCUGCCCUGCCAUUUCCCUGGGUUAAGGAGUCUACCCUAUCCUUGCUGCCCUUGGUGUAUCUGUCACAGCUCCCGGUUUAGGUCACUAGCUAAACACACAGUGACAAUGAUUUAUGAUCUAGGUUUGUUUGUUGUAAUUUGGGAGGCUGAGAAGACAAAUGCGCAUGUUCAGUUUGGACAGAAGAAUGAAUGCAUCCUAUUAGACCCUGAAUUCAGGCUUAAAAGUUGGGGCUUCAGGGGGGAUGUUUUCUUCACUGAUCACUAACCCUCUUAGGUUUGAAUUAGAGUCCCUCAUUUAGUUUUUAUUACCUCUGGGUAGGAAAAUACUGUUACAUUCUUUUGUAUAUCCAAGCCUUAUUCAUCAGAGAAUCUUUUUCUGGGUUACAUUCUGAUUUUUCUUAAUUUUUUUUUUCUUUAAAACAGUUUGAAAGUCUGUGUAGAUUAUUUUCAUUGAUUUUCUCUUACUAACACACCUAUUUAAUCUUUUCUAAAAUGCCAUAUGUUAACCUAUGUUGGCCUUAAAAUAUGUUCAGACCCUGCUUAAAAACCCAGACCAUUGCAGAAUCUUAAGAACUCAAGGCUGUUUGAAUGUUACAGAUACAGAUCUGAAGAAAUUCAGUUUCAAAUGGGCUUUCUUCAGAUGUGGAGGAAACACUGCAGCCCAAAAUAACAGUACUUCCUCUCAACUGUAUUGAUAUGUAAAAUAGCACCUUUGGGCUGACAUAAAAGGAAAGAAAAUUGGUUUCUGUCUUUCUUAAUUAAAAUGUAAGUCCUGCACAAUUAUAUGACAACUACAAUAAUGACAAUGUUAAGUUUGAAGAGCUCUGCUUUGUUCCAAAAUAUUAAUUGGCAUGAAAGGAAAGGUGAACUGUGUCAGGCAAAUGAAACACUCCCCCACCUCACCUCCAUGACAGUUAGAAUAUGUUAGUGAUGCCAUUGCUCGAAUGGGCUAGUUUUCCAGCCAAAAUACAUAGAUGGUUCAGGGACCUUUUGCAAAACAGAUUAACUAUGCAGCUGUCUCUCUGGGACAGCAGCUCUGUAAUCCCAUGAACAGCAGCUCAGGAUGAGAUUUAAUCCUGCAUUUAGAAGACUCCUUUACUGUGUACACCUGUCUUCCCUCAGUUUCUCCAUUGUUUUAUAUCCCAAAUUGAUGGGAACAUUUUUGUUUCAUUUGUACUUAAGCUUAAUUGCCUUUUGGGCUUCACUUUUUAAAAAAAAUAUGGAUUGCAUUUCUUUACAACUUAAUACUUGAGCUUAUACAAUAAAAGUGACAGAUCUUUAAAAAAAAAAUUAACAGUAUAAAUGGCAAUGGUAAUACCACAGAGUCAUGAUUAUAAAAAGCCAAGGUUUUAGUAGAACUAUCAAUUUAUUCUUCAAUUUAAGUCCUUUGUUUCAAUUCCAUUUUAUUUCUUACAUAAGCAGGUAAACAUGCUUCAAAAAACUGAAGAGCAUUCCAGACAGCAGUUUUUCUUUUUGAAGGGUAUAUCCAGUCCACAGAAGUAUUUUCACAAAGCCACACCCAGUCACUGAAAGGUCAGAGACCAUCGCCACACAGUAUGAAAGAACACAGUCAACACUAGGUUUUAAAUACAUGGUUAUUUCAGUUGUUUGAACCUUCAGCAGCUAUUAUGGGAAAACUCUUUAAGGAUUUAAAUUCGAGAGUUCAGGGUUUAAAAAAGAAUAGCAGAAUAAUGCUGACUUUUAAUCUGUUAAGAGAGCUCUAUAUUUUCUCAUUUCAAGAAAGUCAAAGCCUAUUCAAGUUAAUUUUGAGAAUGUAUGUGUGGUUUUAAAACACCAUGUCCUCUUUUACCAUUAAUACAGUAAUGCUUAUCUUUAUUUUUCAUUCUAGUGUUCAGUGUGCCCCUAAAUAAACCAGGCCUCAUGUGAGCCAAUCAUCUUCCACUGUGCUAUGAGCCAUACACUUACCUAUCUUUCUAAAGUUUGGGCAGAAUUUAAAUGAUAUUUUUGGUGUAAAUAAUCCUUUCCUUACAGAGCAGAGGACAGAGAGAUCAACAGUUCUUUGUUUGCUCGUGACGACUUUGUUCCCUCAGGAACUUGUGAAACUGUUGCCGUUGCUAAACCUCAGUAGACAUGGAUUAAAACUGUUUAGGAAAGUUAUCAGAUGAAAUGAAUCACGUUUAGUCCCUUGGGUGAAGUGCCAUGGUUAAGUCACCCAAAGCUUCAUUAUCCAUGAAUGUGUAUGUCUUAAACCUUGAAGAUGGAAAUUAAAAAGUUAAUACAAAGUCCAGUUUAAGGUUCAUAUAUUUUUAAUUACACCACUGUGUUUUUAUUUGUGCAGAAAUUUUGGUCCAGUUUAGUUGCCUCAAGUUUUUUGUUUUUUUUUCCUGUGCCUUCAUUCAACAAGUUUUAAGAAAAAUGAGCUUUAAAAAACCUCUUGUUUGCUGCCCGACUGAACACUUGGACGUUUUUCUCAUGUAUAUACAGGAACACACACACACCCCAUGCACACACAAAGUUGAUGCUGUUGACCUUUGCUGUAUUUCUAAGAACUGGGACUAUUUGGACUCAGUGUCAGCCACUACGAAUAUCAUAUCAUCCUUCUCGUCAGUAAGAGGUUAUUUCUCUUUCCUCUUUCCUACGGUAACCUGUGAGGAGCAAGCACACUGACAGUUACAAAGCACAUCAGUGUGAUCCCAGAUUUGUGCAAUGUGGAACCCAUGCUUUGGUUCUAUGGCCAUCAUGGUUGCCUUUUCACAAUAAUAACAACAGCUAGCAAAAAUAAAUCACCUUGUUUCAUGUAAGACAUCUCUCUUUGACAGGCCACUAUAUUUAUAAUCAUUAAUCUAGCUCACUGCAGUAGUCACGCUUCAGGUUUACAUGAAUAUGCAAAGAAUACAAUAAUCAACUCAUCUGUCAAACCUCAACAACUCAAUUAAUUACUUAUCACAGAAUGUUGAAUGUUUUUGCUUCCCAGUUGAGCAAGGGAAAUACUGUCAGCUCUUUAAAAUACAGGCUAAAUGCUUGGUCAUAACUACUCAUCUGUCAAGUUGACACCUCAUGUGGAUUUAAGAAAGUACAUUUGACUUAAAAAAUUUUUAUUUCCCCUAUUAUAAGUGCUUCAUAGUAGCAAAUAAGUUAAUUUCAAAACUUUGUCAUGGGUAGAUUGCUUUAUAGUUUUUUUACCCUUUAAAAAAUAGUAACUUUAUCUCUUAUUAAGAUACUUCAUUUGAUUAGUGCUUUGUAAAGUAACAUUUGUGAUACUUUGAAUAAAAGAAUGAAGUGCUGUUUUGAAAGAUUCAACUUUUAAAACAGGCUUUGUCUCUAAUUUUAGGGCUGCUCUGUCCAAUACAGUGGAUUUGAAUUGAGAUUCCCUGUAAGGAUGAAAUGCAUACUGGAUUUGAAAGACUUGGUUCAUAAAAGGAGAUGUAAAAUAACUCAAUUAUUUUUUAUAAUGAUGACAUUGAAGUGAUAACGGGUAUAUAAUGCUAAAUAAAACAUUAUCGAAAUUCA
Bubalus bubalis (water buffalo) is the source of this 5379-nucleotide long non-coding RNA. RefSeq lists it as uncharacterized. Lineage: Eukaryota; Metazoa; Chordata; Mammalia; Artiodactyla; Bovidae. The transcript is spliced from 2 exons. The record is from RefSeq and is a predicted model, not a curated record.